Oncorhynchus keta (chum salmon) is the source of this 1501-nucleotide long non-coding RNA. RefSeq lists it as uncharacterized. The transcript has 6 exons. The record is from RefSeq and is a predicted model, not a curated record. Lineage: Eukaryota; Metazoa; Chordata; Actinopteri; Salmoniformes; Salmonidae.
AGUAAGAAGAGACAGGAAACAUUUUUAUCCCGAAGACCUAUUAUCAUGCACUUUGUUUUGGCCAACUCUUGGAUAGAGCUACAGCUUGUGACACAGUGGAAGAAAUAGGUUGUUUCAGAAACUCUGACAGUGGAAGAAACAGGUUGUUUCAGAAACUCUGACAGUGGAAGAAACAGGUUGUUUCAGAAACUCUGACAGUGGAAGAAAUAGGUUGUUUCAGAUACUCUGACAGUGGAAGAAAUAGGUUGUUUCAGAAACUCUGACAGUGGAAGAAAUAGGUUGUUUCAGAAACUCUGACAGUGGAAGAAAUAGGUUGUUUCAGAUACUCUGACAGUGGAAGAAAUAGGUUGUUUCAGAUACUCUGACAGUGGAACAAAUAUGUUGUUUCAGAAACUUUGACAGUGGAAGAAAUAGGUUGUUUCAGAUACUCUGACAGUGGAAGAAAUAGGUUGUUUCAGAUACUCUGACAGUGGAAGAAAUAGGUUGUUUCAGAUACUCUGACAGUGGAAGAAAUAGGUUGUUUCAGAUACUCUGACAGUGGAAGAAAUAGGUUGUUUCAGAUACUCUGACAGUGGAAGAAAUAGGUUGUUUCAGAAACUUUGACAGUGGAAGAAACAGGUUGUUUCAGAAACUCUGACAGUGGAAGAAACAGGUUGUUUCAGAAACUCUGACAGUGGAAGAAAUAGGUUGUUUCAGAAACUCUGACAGUGGAAGAAAUAGGUUGUUUCAGAAACUCUGACAGUGGAAGAAAUAGGUUGUUUCAGAUACUCUGACAGUGGAAGAAAUAGGUUGUUUCAGAAACUCUGACAGUGGAAGAAAUAGGUUGUUUCAGAAACUCUGACAGUGGAAGAAAUAGGUUGUUUCAGAUACUCUGACAGUGGAAGAAAUAGGUUGUUUCAGAAACUCUGACAGUGGAAGAAAUAGGUUGUUUCAGAUACUCUGACAGUGGAAGAAAUAGGUUGUUUCAGAAACUCUGACAGUGGAAGAAAUAGGUUGUUUCAGAUACUCUGACAGUGGAAGAAAUAGGUUGUUUCAGAUACUCUGACAGUGGAAGAAAUAGGUUGUUUCAGAUACUCUGACAGUGGAAGAAAUAGGUUGUUUCAGAAACUCUGACAGUGGAAGAAAUAGGUUGUUUCAGAUACUCUGACAGUGGAAGAAAUAGGUUGUUUCAGAAACUCUGACAGUGGAAGAAAUAGGUUGUUUCAGAUACUCUGACAGUGGAAGAAAUAGGUUGUUUCAGAAACUCUGACAGUGGAAGAAAUAGGUUGUUUCAGAUACUCUGACAGUGGAAGAAAUAGGUUGUUUCAGAAACUUUGACAGUGGAAGAAAUAGGUUGUUUCAGAUACUCUGACAGUGGAAGAAAUAGGUUGUUUCAGAUACUCUGACAGUGCUUGCCCUCUUGUAAUUCCAGGUGACGUUGUAGUUGAAGUUAGGGUUGUGUGUGGUGCAGUGGAUUCUCAGCUUCUCUCCCACGAUACGAACAUACUCAUCCUUCUCCAGG